This 68-nucleotide transfer RNA is filed under the name Myxococcaceae bacterium. RNAcentral's name for it is "tRNA-Trp". Lineage: Bacteria; Pseudomonadati; Myxococcota; Myxococcia; Myxococcales; Myxococcaceae. The record is from RNAcentral.
AGCCGGUGUGCCGGGCACAGCGAGGUCUCCAAAACCACGCGGGGCGGGUUCGACUCCUGCAUCGGCUG